This is a long non-coding RNA of Neofelis nebulosa (Clouded leopard), 12914 nucleotides long. RefSeq lists it as uncharacterized. The transcript is spliced from 2 exons. Lineage: Eukaryota; Metazoa; Chordata; Mammalia; Carnivora; Felidae. The record is from RefSeq and is a predicted model, not a curated record.
CUGUUUCUAAAUAUUUCUCUGAAAUCUCCGCCAGACUUGAUACCUUUUUAAUAACUUUUAAGAAUCAGUCUUUAAAUCCAUAUUUUAGUAGACAUUAAGAAUGUGUAAGGAAUAAAACUCAUCAUCCUUAGGGCUAGAAAACAAUAAAUGAAAUUAAUUUUAAAAGUUCUGAGCUUCAUCUCCCCAUUUGAGUCGGAUAGUUUCCAAUAUAUUCGUACAGAAGUAGUAUAUUUACCUUUAUUUAGCCUAUGAAACUACAAUUGAUUUUUAAAAUGCAGUUCUCAUUUUUUUUUUUCAAAAUCGUAAGGCUAAAAAUAAUUUAAAAUAAGAGAAAGGAUAAACCUAUGAGGCUUUCUAGAAGGGAACGUGGGUACAAUUUUGUUAUUGCUAGCACACAGUUACCAUAUACUUUAGUUUAGAAGCUGCUCUCAUUUAGUAACCUUCCUUUUACCAUGCAAGCAGCAGGGGAAAGUAAUUAAAUUUAAUAGAAGCUGCCCUCAUUUUGAAGCCACUUCUAUUUAAAACCACAGGGGGAGGUAAUUAAAUUUAAUGGAAACAGUAGCUUCUACACAAAGAUACAUGGUACUUCUGUAUAGAUGAUUAUGAUGUCACAAAAAGAGGAAUAAUAUAUUACUAGUACUGAGAAAUUACCAGCUGGAGCAAGUGAGCCUAUUUUAUUGUUAAUGUCUUCACUAAUAAAAAAAGAGGGAAAAAUAGAACUGAAUAUACAAUAGAGAAUUUGCACCUAUAAAAUGCAAUCAGACAUUCACAGAAAGUUAGUUUUUGAAAAAUAGUAAUAAAUUAAAACGAAAGUAUAAAACAUAUUGUGGAAAAAGCCAAUGCAGAAAUUAUGAAUGAACUCCUAUUUUCAAUUCAGUCUUUAUCUUGUGUCUAAAACUACCACAUUUAUAAGUUGAAGGCAUUGUUUUUGCACAUGCUAAUGAUAAUAAAUUUGAAUAUAUUAAGUGUGUACACCAAUAUGUAUUUAGAAAGCUACAGUUAUUCCCUGUAUUUUUAUAUCUACUCAGUUUGAAGUAAACACAUAGACACACAGGAAGACAAAGAGAAUGCCAGCUCUGAAGCUUUGAAUAAAAGAACUGAAGGCCUAAAACAUAGAAAGAAUUACAAAGGGGCAAUGUGAAUGAAAAUGGAUGUGACUGUGGGAAAUAUAAUGAACAAGGAAAGGACAUGUAAUUAGUGUAGAAAAUUUGUCAUCAAGGAAAAUCAAACUGAAUUAUGGGAGAACUGUGUAUGAAGAGAUUAUUCUGCCAAAUUUUGUAAUACUUACUUUUUAGAAAAUACUAGGAUAUUCUGCUUUUAAAAAAGUAGAGAUGAACUAAUAAGAAAAACAAGUAUUACCUGGUUAGAAUAACCUCUCAAUCACUCAUGCUAUCAGAUAAAGCAGUAUUCUAGAUAAUUUAAAUCAGCUUUUAAUUAUAUGGCUGUUUAAUGUACUUUGUUUACAUAAGCUGCAUAUUUUACACAUGCACAUGCACACACAUAUUCAUAAUGUUUGGAUUCACUAAACACAAUUAAAUAAUUUAGUAACCAAAGCAUUCAGCAAUUUAGUACACUGUGGGCCCACCACUUUUGUGUUUGCUGUUGUUUUUUGCCUUUAGGAAAUGUAGCAGUAGCUCAUUCUUUUAUAUAUGAGAUUAUAGAAGCAUUGGAAAAAAGUUGUGAUGCUAUGUUAGUAAGAAUAAGAGGAGAAACAUGGAGGGGCAAAAAUUAAUUGUUCUUUAAUCUGUGAUCAAUGUUUGCCUUACAUGAAGGGUGUCUCGAUCAAAAGAAACUAUGGGAGGGUAAGAUAUUUGAUUUAGGCCUUGAAAGAGGGCCAAUUUUGCAGGUAGAGGGAAUAGAAUUGAGCAAAGUCAUGGAGGCCUGCAGGUGCAAGAUGUAUUUCAGGAACAGUAAGUAGUCUGAUGUAAAGCAAAUUUUUUCAAGCUUUUUUUGAAUAUGUUUUCCCACAAAACUCACAUAGGCAGAAUUUUUGAGUCAGUAACAUCUCUCCUUCCAUGUCAAGAAUCCUUGGGUGGAAAUGAAGCAGUAUGAAGUUGGCAAGGAUGAUGUAAGCAUUUCAGAAUCUCAGAGUGUGAGAAGGGGCAGUGGGAGACAGGUAAGAAUAAUUUGCUGAAAACUUUGGUGACCAUAGGGACUGGCCUUAAGAGGCUGGCUGGAAAUGUGUUUGUUACCAUAUUCUGGAGGCUAGUUAGAUAGAGUCUAGCUUGCCAUGAUAAAGAGUGUAAAUUAUUUCAGGAAGUCAUUAUUUUUUUUUAAUUUAUUUUAUUUUAUUUUUUAACGUUUAUUUAUUUUUUGAUACAGAGAGAGACAGAGCAUGAACAGGGGAGGGUCAGAGAGAGAGAGGGAGACACAGAAUCCGAAACAGGCUCCAGGCUCUGAGCCAUCAGCACAUUGCCCGACGCGGGGCUCGAACUCACGGACCGUGAGAUCAUGACCUGAGCCGAAGUCGGACGCUUAACCGACUGAGCCACCCAGGCGCCCCAAGGAAGUCAUUAUUUUUAAGGAAGGGGUGAUAGGAUUAAAUGUAAAAAUUAGAAUUUUGUAGAAUUGUUAGAGGGGAAGAAGACACAAUAUAGGGAUAGAUGCAGUAUUCCAUGGUAGCUUUUCUCUUGGUCCUUGGACAUGGCCUAGCUCAGCUGUGGGAACAUUCUUUUCUCUCAGUGGCUUAACCUCCACAGCAGUCCUCAGGUGACCCUGGACACCCGCAGUGGUGCUCUCAUUCUGAGCGUGUCUAGCCUGGAGAAGCUGGAGCAGAAAUGGAUGGAAUCUGAAGAUUGACAUUUUGUGAGUGCUGUGUUUGGGGGCUGUCACCAAGUUGGAUAUACCUCCAACUUGGUUUAUGAAAGUUCUGAGAAUAGGAAAGAGGAUUCUGUCCUUGCUCAAUUUUCUGUCAUCUCAUCCAAUCUCUCUUCAUGGCUGGUCUUUGCCAUGUAGUCUUGAACACAUUCUUUUGUCAUGUAUUCCCAGCUCAUAAGUCAUUUUAGACCCCUCCCAUACAUCCUUCCUACCCCAGAUGUGAGGACCUGUAGCCAGCUAUGUUAAAAACACAAGGAGCUACGAACUAAUCUGGGAUGUACAGGCUAAGUAAAUCAGGUAUUUGAUCUAAAUAAAUCAGGUUUUAGCUAAUACCAAGAAAGGGGAAAAAAUGAUUUAAAAUUUGUUUUGGCAGAAAAUAGAGGGGGCAGUUGAGGGGAUGAAAGAGCUAGAGAAAUCAGUGACAUCACUAAGAUAAAGGCCCAACAGAGGGGAGUGUGUUUGGGAAAUAUGGAAGUAUUUAAAAUGUAGAUCUGAUAAGACUUUGUGGCUUAGCCUCAAUAAAUCAUAACCUUGAUUUAAUCUGUGCUGCUCUGUUUUAAAUUAUUCUUAUCCUUUUUGAAUAAGUUAUAAUUUAUUUGUGUGUCCUACUAGAUAGUAACUUCCAUGAAACUAGGAUUGCUCUUUUGCCCUCUUGUGUAUUCUUAGUCUUACCAUAGUAUUAUCAUAUAGUAGGUACUCAAUAAUUAUCUGUUGAAUUGUUGCUAAAGAUAAAAGUAAUAAGGAGGUUUAUUAAAGUUAAGUCAAAUGUUUUUAUUUUGAAUAUUUGGAUAUAUAUUAAUUGGGAUAGGGAGAGAAAAAAAGGGUUAAGGAAGAAUAUUUUCAUUUUCAGAUUAAUUUGAGAUAGCUGUGGCAAACUCGUAUAAAUUUGCAAUAAGCAGAAGGAAAAUAUAAUUCUACAACUCAGGAAAAUACUGGGGGUUGAUGUGCACAUUUGGACUUGUUAAGUAUUUUGAUACUUGUAGCCAUUGGAAAGGAUGUGAUUUCUAAGAAUAGUGCAUCAAAUCAGAAAGGAGGAGAGUCUAACCAGAUGCCUAAGAAAAAAUAUUGGGCUUAGGAAAAUGUGUGUCACAAAGAAACAUAUUUUGAGAUUUAAAAAUUAUAAAUAACUUUCUCCAGCAGAGUAAGUUGGAACUGUAAAGUGGUGUGCCUGAGAAGAGAAGGGUGGGUGGCAUUCCUGGCCAGUGUUCUGUGGCUCCUGGAGAUAUCUAGAGAAGUGCUGCCCAGUAGAACUUUCUGUGAACUGCAGUAAAACUCUCUAGUAGAAAUGUUCUAUGUUUGUGUUGUUUAGUAUGAUUGCCAGUGGCCACAUGUGGAUACUAAGCACCUGAAUUAUGGCUCUUGUAACUGAAGAGCUGAAUAUUUAAUUGUAUUUAACUUUCAUUAAUCUAAAUGUAAAUGGUUGUAUGUAGUUACAGGCUAUUCUUUGGACAGCAUCACCCUACAGGUAUAUAUUUGAGUUGCUAACGUGACAUUUGUCUGUCUCUCAUGAAUGGAAUUUUCAUCAAAUGGAGUGGCUAGGGUAAAGCUAAACCAGGUUCACACAUAUACAUCACACGCUGCUCUCUCAAAAAAUGAAGAGUAAAAGUUAGUUUCAUAACAGUAAUGGAUGUAAAACCAAAAUGAACAAAUAUGACUUGAUAUGGAGGCGGUAAAUGACUAUUACUGUCUAAAGGCAUGACUUAUAUGUAAAAAGCUCAAGAGAAUUAACAACAAUAACACGCUAGGAAUUAAUAAAAUAAUUUAGUAAUGUGGUCAGAUUUAAGAUAAAAAUGGAAAUUUAUUAGCAUUUCUAUGUAUUACCCAUAACUAAUUAGUGGUUGUAUUGAUAGUAGUUCCUAUGACAAUCCUAUGAAUUUAUUAUAUUAUAAGGUACCCCAAAUCAUCCAGGACAUGUUGAAUCACACAAUAAGUGGUAUAAGAGGCAGCCAUUUAGUUAUUUGGAAAAAAAAUCACUUUAUAUUUACACAGGUGCUGAAGGAUGUUUCAUGUAUAUCAAAGAACUAAAUGAAAUAAAUGAAAUAGCCAAUGUCCACUAGAUUAUGGGAAGCAACAGUUUUAUUUAUUUAUUUAUUUAUUUAUUUAUUUAUUUAUUUAUUUUGAGGUUUGUACAAGGGAAAGAGAUGAUAAGCUAAAGAGUAGAAGAAGAAAUCACUAAGCUUUGCCUGCAUUAAAAAAGCUUCUGUUCGUGGAAAGAAAUCAUGAAAUUAAAAGACAACAUCAGCGUAUUACAUUGCUGUGUGUUUAAGAGAUUCAGAAAGAUUAGGAGCUCAAUGGAUAAUUGGCAAAGAUUGAUUAAGAAAUCUUUGAAAAUAUUCAACUGUAAUGGCCAACAAAAUUUAAGUUACAUUAAAAAAUGUAUUAAUUUCUUGAUUACUGAUAUUACUGCGGCGCCCCAGGGAGGAAAUUUUUGAGUGUUAGCAAUGGAAUGGCAAGACAGCCAUUUCUCACUCCCAGAGCUCAAUAGGGGUGGAAGUUACUGCUGCAUUUAAGGAAAGGAUCACUCCAAUAAGUAUGAAAAGCUUUAAAGCAAACAUACCUUUUACAUAUUAAUUUAACUUCCUGAAAUAAAUCUAUUUCAGAAGACUUAGAAAUUAUGGGCAAUCUCAAUGUGUUUCUCAAACUAUUAGAAUAUAACAGUAAACAAACUGAAUAGAACCCAAUCGUCUACUGUUAAGGAAACAAGUAAGGAAAUGAAUAUUAUAUAUAUAAUGCAUUUGGUGUAUAUUUAUAUACACAUAUAUGAUUUUAUAUAGAUAUAUAAACUUAAAUAUAUUUAUAAAACAUAUAUUUGUGUAACAUAUGUGAUAUUAUAUACACACACAUGUAAUGGUGAAUUGUGGCAUCUUUAACCCUAUCUGGAUACUAAAAUGAUCUUCACCACAGUGAUUUUAGUGACACAAGAAUCCUCGUGUUAAAAUGUUCACUGAAAAAUACCAGGAAACAAAAUUGCAUGUAGGACAUUAUCUCCACUGAAUAUAAAGAAUGCAGAGAAAGAAGAUGAGAUUAAAAUAUACUAAAAUAGCUAUUAUAUUUAGGUGCUAGGCGAACAGAUACUUUUUCCAGGCUUAUAAUUUUCUGUUCUAAAUUUUCUAUAAUAGGAGCACAUCAUGAAUGAUUCAAAAAAUAAUGAAGUAAGAAAUGGAAAAAUGGAAAGAAUAAAAUAUGAUAUGAAUACUAGGAUAAGUGGUAAAAAUCAGAUUUUAGACUCCAACUGUGAUUUUAGGUAAAUUAAUCUUUUUUUGUCUUAUUGUUUUGUAAAAUAGGAUUAAAAACUUAAUAGGAUUGAUAUGAUGAACAACAAUAAUGUAGGAGAGAAAGCUUUGUAAUUUAUGAAACAAUAAAAGGAUGAUACAAAGUAUUAUAAUGUUUGUAUAUGUUAUUUGCAUUUAAUGGUGUUUCAGUGAUUAUUUCAAAGAAUUUACAUAUGUCAUACAUAAUGGAAUUGACUGGAAAACUAUAGUGUAGCCUUAGAAUGUAACAUACCAGAGUGAAUAUUUCUUGUCUCUCACUUAUACAGAGCUCGUUGUAGUUCUAUGGCUAUGUGGAGAUAUUGUACAUGAUUUCUAAAAAUGAUGACAUAAGAAAAAAACAUUUUAAAGACAGGAAAAAUGCAUCUCUAGGUUAAAUCUCUGUCUAUAGUAUGAUAAUAGUGAGUUUAGAGGUAAAAUUCACAACUUCUUUUCAUCAUAUUUUCUCCUUAUCACUGCCAAUUCAACCUUCUUAUCAUGCCAAAGUGAUUUGAUUUCUGUAUUAUCAUAUUUUGCACCUGUCUUAGACCCUGUAAUAAAUUCUAAACAUCAAGGGGAAAAGUGGAACCUUUUUAACAUUGUGUCUCUCUAUCCCCCUUUCAGUUCCAGAGGCAGUAGUGGGACAUGUUGAAUAGAUAUGUGAAAUUGGAAGGUAUUUGAAUUGAAUAACUUGAGAAACGGGAGUGUCAAAUUGUGAAAAAGAAAUGGGUACAUAUAGUUCAUAAAGAAGAAAAAGUAACAAUGUGGUCUGAAGGUUUUAGAAAAUGACAAUACACAAAAAUAUAGAUUGGUCAGAUUAGUGGUUAUACUUCUAUCGUGAAAAUAUAAAUUACAUAUUUGGAAUACAAACAUUGCUAAUUAGAGGUUAGUAUUUUAUUUGCAGAGCCAAACCUAUUCAGUGACACCUGUUAUAUUUAGAUUAUUGUUAUGGAGAUGAACUUCCAGGACAAACAUGAAAUUUCUUUUUCAUUUUUGCUUGGCUUCAUCACGUGUUGGGAAUUCUGUCACUAGAUGGUGAUAUUGAGUUGCACACUUUAUGUUUCUGGCUUUUUUUCUGGUGUGUGUAAUUGUAAUUAUAGGUGUGCCAUAAGCACAGCCAUUUAUACAGAGUUAAACAAAAUGUAACUAUAUGAACUUGGAAAAUAGUUUUAAGAGGUAUAAAUACAUUCUAAGUAUUAUUUAAGUCAAAGGUUAAUAUUGUUUUAAUGUGUUUGUGUUUUUACUUUAGAAUCAUUAGACUUUGAUAGGUAGAAGGUAUAUAUAUAAAUAACAAUCUAAAUUUUUCAUUAAAGACUCAGGUCUAAGAAGAGAUUCAGAGACAUUUAAAAGAGGUCUUUUCCAGUUUUCCUCUUCUAGAUGUAUUAGUCUAGAAAGUUCAUCUUUAAUUUCACUUCUCUGUUAAUAUCCAGUGGUAAAAGGGACUGUUUACCAACUGAUCUAAGGGUUAUGUUACUCCUGGUACCUAGAUAUUGUUUUAGCUGCUUAUUGUUAUAUUAAUGUUUUAGUUAUAUUAAUUUGCAGCUUGUGCUGAGCAUAAUGGUUAAAUUACACUAUUUCUUUAAGUGGUACUUCUACAUGAACUGGAAUAAAAAAUCGUCUCUAUGAGUAGUUUUGUCUAUCUGAUUAAGACUUGAAGGUAAGAUAGUAUUCUAUUUAAUCAUUUUUGUAGGUAAGUUUUGUGUGUAUGUAUAUAUUAAAUAUGUGUAAAUGUGUAUGUUUGUAUAUGUAAAUGUAUACUUUCUAUAUCUCUAUUUCUGUCUAAAUCUUCCCAUCCCAGUCAAGUAAAUCUUUGAAUUUGGAGAUCUCUAUGCUUUUUAGACAUAUCUAUUAGGAUUACAAAGAUUUAUGUACAAGAAGAUUCAAUGAAUUUUUUUUAUAAUAGUAAAAAAAGGGAAAGGGGAUAAGAAGGCAACCUAAAUAUUUAUGAAUAGUGAGUUUGAGUAAUGUAAAAGAUGAAUGUAAGGUAUGAAAAAAAAUGAAAUUGCAUUGUAGUAAAAUAAAAGAUAAAAUGAGAAAGCAUUAACAAGAUACUUCUAGUAAAAUCAUCAGAUUAUUAAAUAGUAUGGAAAGUAAAUACAAUUUUUUAAAAAUUCUGGGUAUGGUAUCUAAUGAUAUCAACAAUUACAGAUGAUUUAACAUUUGUAACAUUUUUUUUUUGCUUUCAAAGUUUUCAAAAAUAAACACAUUAUUUUUAUAAUCAUAAAUGCCCAUGUAUAUGUGUGCAUCUGUGUUUGUUCUUUAACUAUAUGAAAAGUUUGACCUGCAAUAUUGGGUUCAGAGGCAAUGUGUUAACUUUUCAUUUUAACCAAAUGUCUUGAUCCUUCAUAAUUAUAUUUCUCCAAGUUGUCUUUCACUAAAGGGAUCAGCCGGUAUCUCUCUAAAAAGUACCCCCCAAGUCAGCAAAUUAUAAGAGUAUCCUCUUUUCUUCUAUGCAGAGGAGAGUACCUUGUCUUUGUCAUUUCUAUUAUAAAGAGGCACAUAUUCUACUAUGCCCACAGUAGGUUCCUGCAUUUGAUCACCUAACAUAUGGAUUUGGUGACCACACUGAGUUAUCUUUAAUGAUAAAUUUUUUAAAACAGCAGCAAAUGAAAUCAGGCAUAGGUUAAUUAAAUUAUAUAUGUAUAAAAUGCAUUAGCCUAUACCUUAAUUUAAGCAUGUGUUCAUUCAACUUGGUGCCUACUAUGUGCUAGACACUAUUUAAAAGGAGUAUUUGUAGAAGAAAAUAAAAUUAUAAUUACCAUUUUAUGACUACUCGGUAACUUUAGAAUGAUAAAACUAGAAAAGAAAAUAUGAAUCAUUGGUAUAUUGGAUGUUUAUAUUUAAAACAACAAAUUAGCAGCAAUAUACAUAAACAGAAUUUAACCAUGAUAAAAAAUAAUUAGAUUUUGGUGCACCUGGGUGGCUCAGUCAGUUAAGCGUCUGAUUUUUUAUUUUGGCUUGGGUCAUGAUCUCAUGGUUUGUGGGUUUGAGCCCUGCUCUGUGUCAGCAAGAAGCCUGCUUGAAAUUCUCUCUCCCUCUCUCUUGCCCCUCCCACACUCGUGCUCCCUCACUUGCUCUCAAAAUAAAUAAAUAAACUUAAAAAAUAAAAAAAAAUUGUAUUUUCCCAUUAGUAGUUUAAGAUUGUAUAUUAAAGACUAGAAAGGAAGGGUUACAGCUUUUGUUUUGCUACGAAAGAAAAGUGCAGAGUUAAGUCUUACUCUAGAAUGCUUAUCAUUUUAGAUACAGACUUUGAAUGAGCAGCUAAUAGCUAAAAUUAUUUAGGAGAUAAAAAUUGGUACUGUGAGGAUUAGCUUUAAUUUUAAGUAUCCAUAAUUGAAGUGCCACAUUAUGAUUUUAAUGUUAUGAUAAUCUUGUUAACAAGCUGUUGUGUAUAUACUAUCAUAUUUUAAUGUAGUUGCAAAGCUUAAGUAAACCAUAAAGUAAAUUGCUUUUUGAAUCAGGCUUUUACAAGUGGAAAAUUAGUGGUUUACAUGUUUUGAAUACAUAUUUUGUAAUUAUGCUUGUCAUUUUCUACAACUUAAGAAGAAUAAUAGAAUAGGUUUAUAGAUAAUACAUUAUUGUUCAUUGGCAUAUUUUGUUAUUGCCCAUUCUAAUUAGUUUGGUUUUAUUAUACAUAUACUAUAAAAUAAUAACUGAUUCUGUUUCUUUUUCUGUAAUAGUCUUCCGGAAGGUACACAUUUUAGUUUAGUUACACUACUUCUCAUUUCUCAUAUAUCAUCACAUUACUUUUAGAAAAUUAAUACCUUUUCUUAUCUAGUAUUUCUACAGGUUAUUAUGAUAUACACUGAGUUACAUCCAUUGGGAGGGUUUGUGUUUAUUUGGGGGAAAAAAGUGUCCUAUUCUGAUAAUUGGUGAAGAUAGCUAGUAAGUAAGAUUUACUUUUUCUGAAUUUGUUGCUUCAGUUGACAAAGACAAAGCAUGGCAAUUUGAUAGUCUAAGGCAGAAAUAGGCAAACUUUUAUGUAAAGUCCAGACAAUAAAUACUUUCAGCUUUCUGGUUCCUGCAGUCUCUGUUAUAGUUAUUUAAUUAUGCUGAUGUAGUGCAAAAGCAGCCACAUAGACAUUUUGUGAACAAAUAUGUGUGGCUUCAUUGGUAUGGCUAUGUUCUAAUAAACUGUUAUAGAAGCAAGCAACCAGGUGGAUUUAUCCCAUGGGUCAUAGUUUAUUGACCUCUGGUUAAGAGCAGACUUGACAUAAAUCAAUUAAAUUUCAAAAAAUUAUUGGUAAAUAUAUUAUGAAUUUGUUAUCUCUAAUAAAUUAAUACUAAAAAAUACUGUGAAGUUCUUCCAGUUUUAUUUACAAAGAUGACUAUACAACAUUUACUGAGGUGUCCUUAUUUCCCAAUUUCUGGGUUGUUCUUUGAAAUUGAGUAAGUGACACUUCCUAGAUUACUCAUUCAAGUAAAUAAGCAUAAAUCAGAGAAAACUCACCAAUUGCAAUUGUAAAAUCACCAAUGUGCAACCAACAUGAGGUCUUGGUAUCAAUGGCACUGGAUCAAUUAGCAUUAAUUCAUUAUAAUUAUGGUUUAGAGUUAAAAUGUGGACUAACCACUGAAGAACCAUCUACAUUAUGAAACAGUAUAAUGUUACUCUUCAUUUUAGCACUAGUUUACCACAAUAUGAUACUUAUAAAAAUAUACAUUGUGAUACCUGACUUUGUUAAUUAUUCUUAUAAAUAUGGAAGACUCAUGGUAUCUACUGAAGUACAUACAUGAUGUCUGAUACUGAUUUGAAAAUAGUGUGAUGUGUUGCAUGGUCUGUUAUUUUAACUCCUUUGCGAAGUUUUAUACUUUAAGGGGCUAUGUAAGGAAUUGCCUUCAUUUCAAAAAUGUAAUCAAUUGAUGUUUAAUAAAUCUGUGAAUUAUAAAUAAAUAAUUAUCUUCUAGUAUACAAAGAAGUUUUUUUUAAUAUUAAGUGAGAUUCCAUAUGGGAUAUUCUGAGCCCUUUUUAAAAAAUGUUCUUGAUGUUUUAAGUUCAGUCUUAAUAUUUUCCAAAGAGCUUCCUAUGAAAAUGAGUUUAAUUUAAUACAUUUCCUAACUUUUAGCCCUAUAGUUUUUUUCCCCCAUUUUAAGAACCAUUAUUUUGGCUGGCAAAUAGAAGAAAUAAUAGUAGUCAUUUAAUUUUGAAAUCUUCCAUCAUAUCAACUUUCAUCAAGUUUUAGUGGAAAUGGGUGUUUGUCAUUGGACCACAGAGGUAAUACUUUUAAUGGAUAUCUGUGCUAUGUUUACAGACGAAUCUUGCCAAUAUCUUCCUCUAUCUUUCAGGAGACUUUAGAAAAAUCUUUUUUUAUUUUUAUUUUUCUUAAGAUGGGAAAGAAAAAUGAUUUACAAUAAGGUUAAAUUACUUACUGGUAUUAUAUUUGUCAUUGUCAUAUUUCCCCUCCAUAUUUCAUUUCUUCCUUCAUCCCCUUAGAAGUUGUUUAUAAUUUCAUAUUCUGUGAGAGAAUAUUGCUUGAGACAUUUCUCACCCAGGGGUAAGAAUUGUGUUGAAAUUUAAACAGUUUGGAUGAAAAAGCUGUUUUGGAGAUCGCAUUUCUUCUUUUCAAAAUAGAGAAACAAGUGUAAGAUUUUUUUCAAUGUUAAGAAAAAGGUUACUGGUUUUGACACAUAAUUAUUAAAUGACUAAAUAUGAAUAGAGUAUAUUAAGUAAUUUAUUUUUUCUUUUUUAAGUUAUUUAAAUUCUGGUUAGUUAAAAUACAGUGUAAUAUUAGUUUCAGGUGUAGAAUUUAGUGAUUCUUCACUUGCAUACAACACCCAGUGCUCAUCACAAGUGCCCUCCUUAAUCCCCAUCACCCAUUUAGCCCAUCCCCCACCCACCUUCCCUCCAGCAAUGCUCAGUUUGUUUUCUAUACUUAAGAAUCUGUUUUAUGGUUUGCUACAUGGGGGUUGGGGGAAGAGAGAGGCAAACUAUAACUUAAAAAGCAUUGGGUAGGGGCGCCUGGGUGGCUCAGUCGGUUAAACGUCCGACUUCGACUCAGGUCACCAUCUCGUGGUCUGUGAGUUGGAGCCCCGCGUCGGGCUCUGGGCUGAUGGCUUGGAGCCUGUUUCUGAAUCUGUGUCUCCCUCUCUCUGCCCCUCGCCGUUCGUGCUGUGUCUCUCUCUGUCUCAAAAAUAAAUAAACGUUAAAAAAAAAAUUAAAAAAAAAAAAAGCAUUGGGUAGCCAGUCACUACCAUUAAUUGAAAUCUGAGGAUCAUUCCUUGAGUUGGGUCAUUUCAUUAAAAAUGAAAGUCUGAUGUGUUUUGAUAUUAUUAUAAGACUUAUACUGUAGUUCAUAUUUAUUCAGGAUUAUUCUGUUCAUCUGAAAUUUUUAGAAACUUGAUUGUUCUUUCAGUACUUCCACCAAAAAUCUGCAUUAUUUAAGGGUCAUGACAAAUAUAUUUGUCACAAUAAUGUUUCUAUAGAUGAUAUAGUUAUUUCAGAAAGAGAUCUUGUUUAUAUCAAUACUAAUAAAUGCUGUUUGUAACCUGUAAUUGUAUGAACAAACUAGGAUUUACUAGAUAUAUCUAAAUUAUUGCAUGUCUUUUAUUAUUUAUUAUUUUUAUUACUUAUAUUAUCAUUUUGUCUGAUUAUAUAUAACAAGAAAUGUAGUUUAAAUGUGAUGGUACCUAGAACCUUGAAUGCAUAUUGGAAUCAUCUUGUGAUGAUGCAAUACCUAAGCCCAACUCCAGAGUAAUUAAAUGAAAUUGCUUGUGUGUUGGGGUGGUGGGAUUACAGUCAGCACCAGUAUUUUUAAAGCAUCUUGGGUGAUUCCAGAAUGCAACCAAGGUUGAGGAUUGCAGUUCCAGUUGGUUUCCAUGAAGUCUGUUCUGCAGACAGCAGCCAGAAUCGUU